GCGACGGUGCGCCAUAUUGAAUUUUGUUGCUUCCUUGUAAGAUUCGUCAAUUCAACCAGGGGAACCGGAAAACCGUCACGGUUUUAUAUAACCGUCAGGAAUAUGGAUACCUGGGGCGCAGCUAAAUCGGCCUGAAAUAAACAGACGUCUUCAUAAUCAAAUUGGCGAUCGUGGCCGUCAGCUGCUGAACAUUCAACAGCUCGGAAGCGGACCACAGGAUAUACACGGAACAUACCAUUCGUCAAUUUAACCAGGGGAACCGGAAAACGUUUUCAUAACCAACAUCUUGGCAAUCGUGGCCGUCAGCUGCUGAACAUUCAUCGAACAUCUCGGAAGCGGUGAACGAAGGUAACGUCAUGGAUUGGACUACAGGAUGUUCACGGAACAUACCCAUUCGAAGUUCUCCUAGAUCAUCGAUUUCCGUGUCGCUCGGUUUCAAAGGUGCAACAUGGUUAUUCGUCCGAAACCUGCGAGUUUCAAGUGAGGAGCUACACACCUGUCGCCACACCAGUUCACUAAAUCAGAGGUUCGUGUUUAGAUGACUUGCUGCCCCUGGCUGAUUUUGCUGCGUAUGGACAACUAAUAAAACGGGCUGAUAGCGGCUUCUCAU
Molecule: long non-coding RNA, 610 nt
Organism: Armigeres subalbatus
Lineage: Eukaryota; Metazoa; Arthropoda; Insecta; Diptera; Culicidae
Exons: 4
Source: RefSeq, a predicted model, not a curated record